This 203-nucleotide ribosomal RNA is filed under the name uncultured microorganism. RNAcentral's name for it is "partial 16S ribosomal RNA". It matches the Rfam family "Bacterial small subunit ribosomal RNA", at positions 346 to 538 of the family's 1533-position model. The record is from RNAcentral.
GUGCACCAGGCGAGAAUAGUCUACAAUGGACGAAAGUCUGAUAGUGCGACGCCGUGUGUGCGAUUAAUUCCUUCGGGAUGUAAAGCACUUUUCUAUGAGAUAAAAGCUCUUUAGGUUAAUAGCUUAUUGAGACGGAUAUUAUUAUAGGAAUAAGCUCCGGCUAACUCCGUGCCAGCAGCCGCGGUAAUACGGAAGGGAGCGAG